This 295-nucleotide ribosomal RNA is filed under the name Staphylococcus aureus. RNAcentral's name for it is "partial 23S ribosomal RNA". It matches the Rfam family "Bacterial large subunit ribosomal RNA", at positions 2630 to 2925 of the family's 2925-position model. Lineage: Bacteria; Bacillati; Bacillota; Bacilli; Caryophanales; Staphylococcaceae. The record is from RNAcentral.
UUCGGUCCCUAUCCGUCGUGGGCGUAGGAAAUUUGAGAGGAGCUGUCCUUAGUACGAGAGGACCGGGAUGGACAUACCUCUGGUGUACCAGUUGUCGUGCCAACGGCAUAGCUGGGUAGCUAUGUGUGGACGGGAUAAGUGCUGAAAGCAUCUAAGCAUGAAGCCCCCCUCAAGAUGAGAUUUCCCAACUUCGGUUAUAAGAUCCCUCAAAGAUGAUGAGGUUAAUAGGUUCGAGGUGGAAGCAUGGUGACAUGUGGAGCUGACGAAUACUAAUCGAUCGAAGACUUAAUCAAAA